Molecule: ribosomal RNA, 423 nt
Filed under: uncultured bacterium
Lineage: Bacteria
Description: bacterial SSU rRNA
Rfam family: Bacterial small subunit ribosomal RNA
Source: RNAcentral
UAGGGAAUAUUGGGCAAUGGAGGCAACUCUGACCCAGCCAUGCCGCGUGCAGGAAGAAGGCCUUCUGGGUUGUAAACUGCUUUUGGAAGGGAACAAAACGGGCAUGCGUGCCAACUUGAGUGUACCUUCAGAAUAAGCACCGGCUAACUCCGUGCCAGCAGCCGCGGUAAUACGGAGGGUGCAAGCGUUGUCCGGAUUUAUUGGGUUUAAAGGGUGCGUAGGCGGCCAUGUAAGUCAGGGGUGAAAGACGAUUGCUUAACAAUCGCAGUGCCUUUGAUACUGUGUGGCUUGAGUGUAGCUGAGGCAGAUGGAAUGGGUGGUGUAGCGGUGAAAUGCAUAGAUACCAUCCAGAACACCGAUUGCGAAGGCAGUCUGCUAAACUACAACUGACGCUGAGGCACGAAAGCGUGGGGAUCGAACAGG